GUCCUCCCUCUGUGUCCCUGACCCCCUGUGUCCCCUCUCGGUGUCACCUCGGUGUCACCUCUGUGUGUGUCACUGUGUCACCUCUCUGUCACUGUGUCACCUCGGUGUCACCUUUGUGUCCCUCUGUCCUCCCUCUGUGUCCCUGACCCCCUCUGUCCCCUCUCUGUUUGUCACUGUGUCACCUCCCUGUGUCACUGUGUCACCUCUCUAUCCCUGUGUCCUCCCUCUGUGUCACUGUGUCACCUCGCUGUCACCUCGGUGUGUGUCACUGUGUCACCUCUCUGUGUCACUGUGUCACCUCUGGGUGUCACAUCUGUGUCACCUCUGUGUCCCUCUGUCCUCCCUCUGUGUCCCUCUGCUCCUCUCUGUGUGUCACUGUGUCACCUCUGUGUCACCUCUGUCCUCCCUAUGUGUCACUGUGUCACCUCUGUGUCUUUGUGUCACCUCUGUGUCACUGUGUCUCCUCUCUGUGUGUCACUGUGUCACCUGUGUCCCUCUGUGUCAUUGUGUCACCUCUGUGUGUCACUGUGUCACCUCUCUAUCCCUGUGUCCUCCCUCUGUGUCACUGUGUCACCUCUGUGUCACUGUGUGACCUCUGUGUGUGUGUCACUGUGUCACCUGUGUGUCACUGUGUCACCUCUCCAUGUCCCUGUGUCACCUUUCUGUGUUCCUGUGUCACCUCUGUGUGUCCCUCUGUCCCCUCUCUGUGUCCCUGUGUCACCUCUGUCCUCCCUCUGUGUCCCUGUGUCCCCAUGUCCCCAUGUCACCGUGUCCCUGUGUCCCCAUGUCCCCGUGUCCCCAUGUCACCGUGUCCCCAUGUCCCUGUGUCCCCAUGUCCCCAUGUCCCCAUGUCCCCGUGUCCCUGUGUCCCCGUGUCACCGUGUCCCCGUGUCCCCGUGUCCCUGUGUCACCAUGUCCCCGUGUCCCCGUGUCCCCAUGUCACCGUGUCACUGUGUCACCAUGUCCCCGUGUCCCCGUGUCCCUGUGUCCCCGUGUCCCUGUGUCCCCAUGUCCCCGUGUCCCCGUGUCCCCAUGUCCCCGUGUCCCUGUGUCCCCGUGUCCCCAUGUCCCCAUGUCCCUGUGUCACCAUGUCCCCGUGUCCCCGUGUCCCCAUGUCCCCGUGUCCCCGUGUCCCUGUGUCACCAUGUCCCCGUGUCCCCUCCUUCUGUCCCCUCACAGCUGCAGGACCUGGGCCACCCCCCCAAGGAGCUGGCCGGGGACACGCCCCCCGGAUUCAACCUGGAGCUGCCGGGGGGGGUGAGUGGGGAGCAGUGCCGCCUCAUGUAGGGCCCUUCGGGAUCCCCCGGCGCGGCCGCCCCCGAGGAGGACGAAGAGGAGCCCGAGGGGUGGAGACCCUCACCCCACAAACAUUUCGGGGUUUUCCGGGGGCUGGGGGGUGCAGGGACCCCCCCAUUUGGGGAGAUGUCACCCCCUCGCCCCCCACCUGUGUCCCCAAUAAAGAGUUGGUGACGGGAGCGGCUCUGGCUGGGAAUGGGGACCCUACAGAAAUGGGGUGGCCCUAUAGGGACAGUGGGGGGCAGAGUGACCCUAUAGAAAUGGGGUGGCCCUAUAGGGACAGUGGGGGACAGAGUGACCCUAUAGAAAUGGGGUGGCCCUAUAGGGACAGUGGGGGAGAGUGACCCUAUAGAAAUGGGGUGGCCCUAUAGGGACACUGGGGGGCAGAGUGACCCUAUAGAAAUGGGGUGGCCCUAUAGGGACAGUGGGGGGCAGAGUGACCCUAUAGAAAUGGGGUGGCCCUAUAGGGACAGUGGGGGACAGAGUGACCUUAUAGAAAUGGGGUGGCCCUAUAGGGACAGUGGGGGCAGAGUGACCCUAUAGAAAUGGGGUGGCCCUAUAGGGACAAUGGGGGGCAGAGUGACCCUACAGAAAUGGGGUGGCCCUAUAGGGACAGUGGGGGACAGGGACCCUACAGAAAUGGGGUGGCCCUGUAGGGACAUUGGGGACAGAGUGACCCUAUAGAAAUGGGGUGGCCCUAUAGGGACAGUGGGGGGCAGAGUGACCCUACAGAAAUGGGGUGGCCCUAUAGGGACAGUGGGGGACAGAGUGACCCUAACCGAGGGGUGACACAGGGGGACACAAAGUGACCCUACAGCACCAAGGUGGGGACACAGAGUUGACCCUACAGUAACCCUGGGAGGGGACAGCAGUGACCCUAAACAGGGCCAACCCCAUAACAACAUUGGGGGCGCAAAGUGACCCCACAGUAACACUGAGGGGCUGGGAAUGACCCUAUAACAACACUGGGGAGGGACAGCAGUGACCCUAAACACGGUGACACCAGAGUGACCCUAAACACGGUGACCCCACAGGGACCCUAAACACGGUGACCCCACAGUGACCCUAAACGGGGUCAGCCCCACAGUGACCCUAAACAAGGGUGACCCUACAGGACCCUAAACAGGGGUGACCCUACAGUGACCCUGAACAAGGUGACCCCACAGUGACCCCACAGUGACCCUAAACGGGGGUGGCUCCAUAGUGACCCCACAGUGACCCUAAACAAGGGUGACCCUACAGGACCCUAAACAGGGUGACCCCACAGUGACCCUAAACACGGUGACCCCACAGGGACCCCGCAGUGACCCUAAAGAAGGUGACCCCACAGGGACCCUAAACAGG
Molecule: long non-coding RNA, 2640 nt
Organism: Cyanistes caeruleus (blue tit)
Lineage: Eukaryota; Metazoa; Chordata; Aves; Passeriformes; Paridae
Source: Ensembl